Mycena polygramma is the source of this 93-nucleotide non-coding RNA. NCBI's taxonomy places the organism in Eukaryota, Fungi, Basidiomycota, Agaricomycetes, Agaricales, Mycenaceae. The record is from the annotation of a GenBank genome assembly.
GACACUAUAGCUUAGUGGUUGAGCAUACGAUUGCAAUGGGUCUUGCCGCUACCAUGUAUCGUGAGGUCCCGUGUUCGAACCACGGUAGUGUCU